AGUUUUGAGCUAAAUAUAUUUAUAAUAUUAGUUAUUCAUGAAGGUGUUGUAAAAUCUUUAUUUAAAAUUAUAUUUAGGGGUGAUAGGCCUUUCAAAAACUAAGAUAUCUUGAAUCUAAUUAAAAGUAUGUAGUACAAUUAACACAACUAUUAAGUGAUUAGGCUUUAUAGAAUUAUUAACUUAUAAGAUUUUAUUUACUAUAAUUUAAUAAUUAAGUAUAUAAAUAUAUUAAUAUUCAUAUAUUAUAGUUUAUAAAAGAGUAAUUAGAUAGAUUUAAGUUCAUAUUUCUUAUAAUAAUGUUAAUAUUAGUAUUAAGUUUAUAUUUAUAUGAUGAACUCGGCAAAAAUACUUUCUCAACUGUUUAUCAAAAACAUAACUAUGUGAUUGAAUACAUAGCGGUUUCUGCUCAA
This 410-nucleotide ribosomal RNA is filed under the name Mandarina aureola. Its description in RNAcentral is "partial 16S ribosomal RNA". The record is from RNAcentral. Lineage: Eukaryota; Metazoa; Mollusca; Gastropoda; Stylommatophora; Camaenidae.